RNAcentral lists this ribosomal RNA (492 nucleotides) under uncultured bacterium. RNAcentral describes it as "partial 16S ribosomal RNA". It matches the Rfam family "Bacterial small subunit ribosomal RNA", at positions 30 to 507 of the family's 1533-position model. The record is from RNAcentral.
AUUGAACGCUGGCGGCAUGCUUUACACAUGCAAGUCGAACGGUAACAGGCCUUCGGGUGCUGACGAGUGGCGAACGGGUGAGUAAUGCAUCGGGACGUGCCCAGAGGUGGGGGAUAACGCAGCGAAAGCUGUGCUAAUACCGCAUGUGAUCUGAGGAUGAAAGCGGGGGACCAAGCAGCAAUGUUUGGCCUCGCGCCUCUGGAGCGGCCGAUGUCAGAUUAGGUAGUUGGUGGGGUAAAGGCCUACCAAGCCGACGAUCUGUAGCUGGUCUGAGAGGACGACCAGCCACACUGGGACUGAGACACGGCCCAGACUCCUACGGGAGGCAGCAGUGGGGAAUUUUGGACAAUGGGCGCAAGCCUGAUCCAGCAAUGCCGCGUGCGGGAAGAAGGCCUUCGGGUUGUAAACCGCUUUUGUACGGAACGAAAAGGCUCUGGCUAAUACCUGGGGCUGAUGACGGUACCGUAAGAAUAAGCACCGGCUAACUACGUG